AGUGAACGCUGGCGGUAGGCCUAACACAUGCAAGUCGAACGGCAGCACAGUAAGAGCUUGCUCUUACGGGUGGCGAGUGGCGGACGGGUGAGGAAUACAUCGGAAUCUACUUUUUCGUGGGGGAUAACGUAGGGAAACUUACGCUAAUACCGCAUACGACCUUCGGGGGAAAGCAGGGGAUCUUCGGACCUUGCGCGAUUGAAUGAGCCGAUGUGGGAUUAGCUAGUUGGCGGGGUAAAGGCCAACCAAGGCGACGAUCCGUAGCUGGUCUGAGAGGAUGAUCAGCCACACUGGAACUGAGACACGGUCCAGACUCCUACGGGAGGCAGCAGUGGGGAAUAUUGGACAAUGGGCGCAAGCCUGAUCCAGCCAUACCGCGUGGGUGAAGAAGGCCUUCGGGUUGUAAAGCCCUUUUGUUGGGAAAGAAAAGCAGCAGGUUAAUACCCCGCUGUUCUGACGGUACCCAAAGAAUAAGCACCGGCUAACUUCGUG
This 492-nucleotide ribosomal RNA is filed under the name uncultured bacterium. RNAcentral describes it as "partial 16S ribosomal RNA". It matches the Rfam family "Bacterial small subunit ribosomal RNA", at positions 29 to 507 of the family's 1533-position model. The record is from RNAcentral.